GUGAGUAGUUCAGAGUUUGAUCCUGGCUCAGGACGAACGCUGGCGGCGCGCCUAACACAUGCAAGUCGAACGGAGAGAAAGACAGCUUGCUGGAUUUUUCUUAGUGGCGGACGGGUGAGUAACACGUGAGCAACCUGCCCCUCAGAGAGGAAUAACGUUUGGAAACGAACGCUAAUACCUCAUAACAUUACUGGAAGGCAUCUUCCGGUAAUCAAAGAUUUAUCGCUGAGGGAUGGGCUCGCGUCCGAUUAGGUAGUUGGUGAGAUAACAGCCCACCAAGCCGACGAUCGGUAGCCGGACUGAGAGGUUGAACGGCCACAUUGGGACUGAGACACGGCCCAG
RNAcentral lists this ribosomal RNA (342 nucleotides) under uncultured bacterium. RNAcentral describes it as "bacterial SSU rRNA". It matches the Rfam family "Bacterial small subunit ribosomal RNA", at positions 1 to 334 of the family's 1533-position model. The record is from RNAcentral.